RNAcentral lists this long non-coding RNA (394 nucleotides) under Mytilus galloprovincialis (Mediterranean mussel). The record is from RNAcentral. Lineage: Eukaryota; Metazoa; Mollusca; Bivalvia; Mytilida; Mytilidae.
AAAAAUUUUAAGUUCAUUAGAACACAUUCAUUCUGUGUCAGAAACCUAUGCUGUGUCAACUAUUUAAUCACAAUCCAAAUUUAGAGCUGAAUCUAGCUUGAAUGUUGUGUCCAUACUUGCCCCAACCGUUCAGAGUUCAACCUCUGCGGUCGUAUAAAGCUACGCCCUGCGGAGCAUCUGGUUUACACUGUGAGUAUGACAAAAUUUUUACUCUGGUCAUUUAAUCCAGUAAUUGUGACCUUUUACUGGACCAAAUCAUUUAAUACUGGAAAUUUGCCACAUGUGUGAGUGACCUUUGGAAUGACUAUGUGUGUCAGGGAAACAUACAAGUGCAAUAUAUUGUGUAAAUUAAUAUACAGUUGUGUAUAUAUAUAGAUGUCUCACUGUAACUUUU